This is a non-coding RNA of Sarcophilus harrisii (Tasmanian devil), 404 nucleotides long. NCBI's taxonomy places the organism in Eukaryota, Metazoa, Chordata, Mammalia, Dasyuromorphia, Dasyuridae. The record is from Rfam.
GAGAGCAUCCGGAACUUAGGUGGGUGUGCUCAAAGGGCAGUGAGGAUCAAGCCUUGAGCUAUUUUUAUGAACCUUGCCCAGCUGGUGGGCACCUCUCCCUCCUGCACCACCUUUGGCUCCUAGACACUAACCCUAGCCGCUUCUCUGCUGAACCCUGCCUCUCCCUGGCUGGCCCUGCUCUCUAACCACUAACAGGCACUGCCUCCGCUUGGCCCCUGAGUACCCAGGCCACUGGCCUGCCUGUCACGGCUCUCACCGUUUCCUAUUAACCUUUUCUGCGUGACCACUACUAACCCUUCCCCCUCAGUUCCUUCCAGCAGAAACUAAUGGCUUGCUGACUCCUUUCCACUAACAAGCAGGUCCAGCUCUCUGUGGUUAACAGCUUGAGUGUCUGCAUGGCUGGU